RNAcentral lists this long non-coding RNA (325 nucleotides) under Panax ginseng (ginseng). RNAcentral describes it as "long non-coding RNA (PGIN_LNC017721)". The record is from RNAcentral. Lineage: Eukaryota; Viridiplantae; Streptophyta; Magnoliopsida; Apiales; Araliaceae.
CACUUUGACAGCUUAUAUCUUGGAUUCUAUGGUUCAUCUGAACCUGUUUUGUUUUCCAGAUUAAAGACCUACUUACAGGCUACAAAUAUCAAUCGAUUAACAUACCAAAACAUAAACACAUAUGAAUCAAAAAGCCCUGACAUUCGGCUGUCAGACCAUUUUUUUCAAAAUUCCCAGAUUUCAUAAAACGCUUAAUUAAGGCAUUUAGAUGUUAUGAAAACGUGUUCUACCACUCUAGCAUACUUUCUAACAUCCUAAUACAAUAUUCUAAAUAUCUAAACAACAAAUCUAACAUAAGAUCAAAGAGAAAUUUAUGAACUAGGGU